This 288-nucleotide long non-coding RNA is filed under the name Ananas comosus (pineapple). RNAcentral describes it as "long non-coding RNA (ACOM_LNC021918)". The record is from RNAcentral. Lineage: Eukaryota; Viridiplantae; Streptophyta; Magnoliopsida; Poales; Bromeliaceae.
CAUGGAGGAGGAAAAGAAAGUAGAGAAGAAGAGAUGAUUUACUGUUUAGAUUAGGAUUAAAGUAGGUGAACCAUUAAUUAGACGUUAUGUUUGUAGGAAAGGUGAAGGGUUGGAUUAAGGUGAGUGGACUAUUAAUUAAACGUUAUGUUUGUAGGAAAGGCGAAGGGUUGGAUUAAGGUGAGUGGGCUAUUAAUUAAAUGUUAUAGGUGGAGGGAAGGAUUAGAUAUUAUAGGUGGAGGGAAGACGACGUUAUGUGUAUAGAAAAGGCGAAGGGUUAGGUUAAGCUUA